CUGUCUAUCAUGACAUUUAUUUAGAUGUCAACCACAUGGAAUCAUUCAUAGUAUUCAACAAAAUGAUCAGAACACAAUAUUUAUCAACAUCUUAACUGAAGAAGAACAGUUAUGACCAAUUGACAUAUAUUUCCAGCCAUUGUUAUAUUACCUUUGUGAAAUACAUCCUGUUGAUAUAUUUGACAUUCCAAAAAGGGACCCAUACCAGCAGCACAUCCAUGUUUACCUUUAUGUAAGAGGAGCCUCCCCCUCAUGUUUGUACUUUCCAAUAUUUUUAAUAAUUCCAGUUAUCCUUUUUAUAGAUAAUUUGUUUACUGAAUAAAAUUGGUUAGGAUGAUUCAAAGUAGAUCAAUUUGCUGUUACAAUGUAUCAAUAAUAAGGAAUGGGAAUAUUUUUAUACAUGUAUAUCGGUAUCAUAUUUUUUUGAAAAUUUAUUAUGUUUAUACAUCUGCAAUUUUUUCACUGCUGACUAUUUAUUUUUAACUAACUUUGUCAUAAUAAGCAGGGAAUGCAUAUGAAAAACAUGUAUUUUUAUACAUAAAACUCAAUAUAUCUGUGAUAUUUACAAUGUACUAUUACUUUAUUUUCUUGUUGAAUUGUUAGAUUGGUAUUUAUGAUAUACCUUGUAUUUAUUUUUUGAUAAAUGUUUGUUUUAAUGAUGCCUUUACCUUUUACAACAAUAAAAGCUGAGCGGAAAAUUUAUUUUCUUAUUUUUUUUUUACAUUAUUUGCAUUUAAUAGGUAGUUCAUCUGAGACUUGAUGGAAAUUUGAGGUUUCCAAAAUUUUGCAUUGACC
RNAcentral lists this long non-coding RNA (795 nucleotides) under Mytilus galloprovincialis (Mediterranean mussel). The record is from RNAcentral. Lineage: Eukaryota; Metazoa; Mollusca; Bivalvia; Mytilida; Mytilidae.